This 375-nucleotide unclassified non-coding RNA is filed under the name soil metagenome. RNAcentral describes it as "partial contains 5.8S ribosomal RNA, internal transcribed spacer 2, and large subunit ribosomal RNA". The stretch from base 4 to 119 matches the Rfam family "5.8S ribosomal RNA", at positions 39 to 154 of the family's 154-position model. The record is from RNAcentral.
GAUAAGAACGCAGCGAAAUGCGAUAAGUAAUGUGAAUUGCAGAAUUCAGUGAAUCAUCGAAUCUUUGAACGCAUCUUGCGCUCCUUGGUAUUCUGAGGAGCAUGCCUGUUUGAGUGUCAUUAAAUUCUCAACUACACUGACUUUGAAUUGGUGUGGCUUGGAUUUGGGGGGAAAAUUGUUGUGGGCUUUUUGUAUAGUCUGCUCCCCUGAAAUUGAUUAGCGGUACCUUUGUGGAACUGUCUACAGGUGUGAUAAUUAUCUACAUCUUAGACAUCUGCUGGAAUGCUGCUUUCUAAACCUUACUUGUAUUGACAAUCUUGACCUCAGAUCAGGUAGGACUACCCGCUGAACUUAAGCAUAUCAAUAAGCGGAGGA